RNAcentral lists this ribosomal RNA (495 nucleotides) under uncultured bacterium. Its description in RNAcentral is "partial 16S ribosomal RNA". It matches the Rfam family "Bacterial small subunit ribosomal RNA", at positions 30 to 507 of the family's 1533-position model. The record is from RNAcentral.
UGAACGCUGGCGGCGUGCCUAAUACAUGCAAGUCGCGCGAACGGACGAGAAGCUUGCUUCUCUGAUGUUAGCGGCGGACGGGUGAGUAACACGUGGAUAACCUACCUAUAAGACUGGGAUAACUUCGGGAAACCGGAGCUAAUACCGGAUAAUAUUUUGAACCGCAUGGUUCAAAAGUGGAAGAUGGUCUUGCUGUCACUUAUAGAUGGAUCCGCGCUGCAUUAGCUAGUUGGUAAGGUAACGGCUUACCAAGGCAACGAUGCAUAGCCGACCUGAGAGGGUGAUCGGCCACACUGGAACUGAGACACGGUCCAGACUCCUACGGGAGGCAGCAGUAGGGAAUCUUCCGCAAUGGGCGAAAGCCUGACGGAGCAACGCCGCGUGAGUGAUGAAGGUCUUCGGAUCGUAAAACUCUGUUAUUAGGGAAGAACAUAUGUGUAAGUAACUGUGCACAUCUUGACGGUACCUAAUCAGAAAGCCACGGCUAACUACGUG